This 677-nucleotide ribosomal RNA is filed under the name uncultured archaeon. Its description in RNAcentral is "bacterial SSU rRNA". It matches the Rfam family "Archaeal small subunit ribosomal RNA", at positions 321 to 999 of the family's 1478-position model. The record is from RNAcentral.
CCCUAUGGGGUGCAGCAGGCGAGAAAACUUUGCAAUGUGCGAAAGCACGACAAGGUUAAUCCGAGUGGUUUCUGCUAAAGGAACCUUUUGUCAGUCCUAGAAACACUGAUGAAUAAGGGGUGGGCAAGUUCUGGUGUCAGCCGCCGCGGUAAAACCAGCACCUCAAGUGGUCAGGAUGAUUAUUGGGCCUAAAGCAUCCGUAGCCUGCUUUGUAAGCUUUCGGUUAAAUCCAUAUGCUCAACGUAUGGGCUGCCGGGAAUACUGCAAAGCUAGGGAGUGGGAGAGGUAGACGGUACUCGGUAGGAAGGGGUAAAAUCCUUUGAUCUAUUGAUGACCACCUGUGGCGAAGGCGGUCUACCAGAACACGUCCGACGGUGAGGGAUGAAAGCUGGGGGAGCAAACCGGAUUAGAUACCCGGGUAGUCCCAGCUGUAAACUAUGCAAACUCAGUGAUGCAUUGGCUUGAUGCCAAUGCAGUGCUGCAGGGAAGCCGUUAAGUUUGCCGCCUGGGAAGUACGUACGCAAGUAUGAAACUUAAAGGAAUUGGCGGGGGAGCACCACAAGGGGUGAAGCCUGCGGUUCAAUUGGAGUCAACGCCAGAAAUCUUACCCGGAGAGACAGCAGAAUGAAGGUCAAGCUGAAGACUUUACCAGACAAGCUGAGAGGUAGUGCAUGGCC